GCCGUUGGCACACCGGGACGCUCACACUCGCCGCGCUCACACUCGAGGCGGGGUGGGGGGACGUGGGGGUCCCGGGGCGACCGGGAGCCCGCUUCGUUUCAGGGCCGAAGCUCGCGGCUGUAGGAGAGGAAAGCAGGUACCCGACCCUCCCUCCACCCUCAGGGUUACCUGAAGGUUGGGAAGGAAGGAGGAGGAGGGCGGCAGGGGGAGCCAAGGGGCUCUUGCCAGCCUGUUGGUGGGGCAGGUGUCAGUGGUGUUUAGCCCCGCUGUGUUCAGAGCGGAUGAAAAUUCACUCUGCAACGCUGCCCGCCUCAAAAGAAUAAAAGGAACUGACGAGACAGCAAUACUUAGAUAUUAAUUCAAGAACUGGGCCGAGCGAGGACUUGGCGACCUUAACCUUCUUUGAACCCUCAUCAGUGGUUGAGGGUGGAACCAUUUGAAAGAUGCUGCCAUCUCGGGCACCACCUGGCGCUCUGUUUGGGGGCGAUAAGGAAAGCCUUCCCCUAGUCCGUCAACAACAGCACACUCCAGACUGAGUUCUCGCCAGUGCAACAGAAGUUACCUAAUGCAGGAUGAGAUGCGCGAGGGUGUGAAUUAAUUGUAUUUCAAGAUGUCUUCAUCGUGGCUGGUCCAGGAGGGAAGCUUUGUACUGUGGCACUUCCAGCCAGAUUCAAAUCCGGCCUCUUUUAACUUAUUAGCUGGGCAUGCUCCCUCUUGCUGCAUAACCUAAGGCCUUAGUUUUCAAUGCUGUGAAAUGGGGAUAAAUGAUAAAAUGCAAGAAUACAGGUACAGCACCUGUCACCUUCAGGGUGUGUUAGUUCAGACUAAUACAGUUCAUUUGGGACCUACCCCUUUUGGGGACUUUGCUUUAAAGUUUAUUUAUUUUGAGGAGGGAGGGAGAAAGAAUGAGUGGGGGGAGGGUCAGAGAGAGGAGGCGCAGAGGAUUCCAAGAGAGCAGGCUUGGUGCUGACAGCAGAACAAUCCAUGAGAUCGUGACCUGAGCCAAAGUCAGACGCUUAACCCGCUGAGCCACCCAGGCGCUGGGGAGGGGUGGCGGGGGGGGGGGGGUCCUUUGCUUUAAAAGCAUCAAUUCUCAUCUAAUUAUACCUGUUUCUUCCCCCAGGUGCAGUUUAAUCAGCUUCUCCCAAACUGAUCUAACAAAGAAAGACCCUUCCUGGGAGGCCAUAGUUAUGUACAGGCAAACACUUUUCUAAAAACAUAACUCCAACAUCCCUCUUUGCCACAGAAGUAUUGAGUUCUAGGGACUGGAAAAAGAAAGCAUCUGAAGACGCCUGUGUGGUUAGGAGACAGCCAGCCGAGUGUUUAGGAUUCUGUCUUCUACGUGAUCUCAGCAAUAGAUACACACAUUCCUUCUCAUCCUCUCGCCUCUAAUACCAUCUGCCAUAGCUACUCGCUUUCCUAUUUCAUAUAACAGUGACCACGACAGGCAGUUGGAGUCGUCCUAUACAAAGUAUGUAGGGCGGUUGUCACUCUUUGCCCACCUACAGACCCAAGUUAAAAACCCCAGCAUCCAUUCAAUCGGUAGCAUCCUGCUGGCUUGUUACUACUCCCAAAUCCGGUCCUGGCCCUCCCCAUCUGCCCUGUAUUGCCUUCAUUCAGUGAUGAACCCGCCUCCAGCUGUGCUCCCAGGUUGUGCUCCUCGGGGCUAGCAGCCACACUACUGUCCAAUUAAGUAGAAAAUCAACUCCAAAUAAAGCGCGUUCCAACCCUAACUCCACCCCUCAAAAACCUCUCCUAGCCUUCAGAAUAAAAUCCGUAUUAUUUAACAAACAUAUAAAAUCAGUAUAAUCUGGCACCAAAGUACUUUCCCAGCCCCAUCUCCUGCUCCAGGGCCCCACAAGCCCUUGGCAAACCAGCUGCCACUCCUUGUUGUGAAACAACAGAGCCAUCCUCUUGUUUGUUGUUUUAUGCUGAGCAUGGUGCCCUGCACGCAGGCGCUCAAAUAAAUGCUUGUGAAUGAAUAAUUCCUUGCCCUUUUGUUUCUCAUGAAAUAUUUUAGACUCCAUCAGAGUCUUUUAUUAACAUGCGGUGACCGAUACUCGUUGUACAGAAUGCCGAAGAGUUGAAAGAAAAACAUAAGCCACCUGGAAUCUCAGCGGUCGGGAACUGAGGUGUUCUCUGGGGAAUGCACCUGAGUCCAGACUUCUUUUUAUCAGGACACCAGUCAUUGGAUUCGGGGCCCACCCUACUCCAGGAUGAUCUCAUCUUCAAUUACAUCGGCAAGGACCUGUUUCCACAUAAGGUCGCAUUCUGAGUACUGAAGGUUAUGACUUCCACAAAUGAAUGGAGUGGCGGACACAAUUCAACACGUAACAGACAACUGGAGAUAAGAGAGAAAACACAACCAACCAUGAGUGGAAAGGCGUUCAGACUGAAGGAGAGAAAGAAAUACGGAUACCAAGCGACAGAGGUGGUUGUACGCAUUGAUAGAGUGGAACCAGCCACAUGAGAGGUACCCACAUAUAAGGUCAUCAUCAACGUGCUCAAUUGUCUCCCGUUUUUCUUUGUUUCUCUUUCCCAUCUUUGAUAAGAACUUCUCAUCUUUGCAGUGAUGCAGAACCAACAGAAUCAUGACCUCUUGUUUCCAUGUAUGCAGUUGAGGUCAUGCUUUUAUGACACCUUUGGGCAAAACUUUUUCCCUCAUUGAGAAACUGGCGAAACAUUA
Molecule: long non-coding RNA, 2686 nt
Organism: Felis catus (domestic cat)
Lineage: Eukaryota; Metazoa; Chordata; Mammalia; Carnivora; Felidae
Exons: 3
Source: RefSeq, a predicted model, not a curated record